AUUGAACGCUGGCGGCAGGCCUAACACAUGCAAGUCGAGCGGAUGAAGGGAGCUUGCUCCUGGAUUCAGCGGCGGACGGGUGAGUAAUGCCUAGGAAUCUGCCUGGUAGUGGGGGAUAACGUCCGGAAACGGGCGCUAAUACCGCAUACGUCCUGAGGGAGAAAGUGGGGGAUCUUCGGACCUCACGCUAUCAGAUGAGCCUAGGUGGGAUUAGCUAGCUGGUGGGGUAAAGGCCUAUCAAGGCGACGAUCCGUAACUGGUCUGAGAGGAUGAUCAGUCACACUGGAACUGAGACACGGCCCAGACUCCUACGGGAGGCAGCAGUGGGGAAUAUUCGACACUGGGCGAAAGCCUGAUCCAGCUACGCCGCGUGUGUGAAGAAGGUCUUCGGAUUGUAAAGCCCUUUAAGUUGGGAGGAAGGGCAGUAAGUUAAUACCUUGCUGUUUUGACGUUACCGACAGAAUAAGCACCGGCUAACUUCGUG
This 484-nucleotide ribosomal RNA is filed under the name uncultured bacterium. Its description in RNAcentral is "partial 16S ribosomal RNA". It matches the Rfam family "Bacterial small subunit ribosomal RNA", at positions 30 to 507 of the family's 1533-position model. The record is from RNAcentral.